UGAUGGAAUCAAUGGUGGUGGUGAAUGUAAUGCUGGAAUCAAUGGUGCUGGUAAAUUCAAUUGAUUCCAGCAUUACAUUCACCAGCAUCAUUGAUU
This 96-nucleotide microRNA precursor is filed under the name Clytia hemisphaerica. Its description in RNAcentral is "microRNA mir-598". The record is from RNAcentral. Lineage: Eukaryota; Metazoa; Cnidaria; Hydrozoa; Leptothecata; Clytiidae.